GACGAACGCUGGCGGCGUGCUUAACACAUGCAAGUCGAACGGAAAGGCCCUGCUUUUGUGGGGUGCUCGAGUGGCGAACGGGUGAGUAACACGUGAGUAACCUGCCCUUGACUUUGGGAUAACUUCAGGAAACUGGGGCUAAUACCGGAUAGGAGCUCCUGCUGCAUGGUGGGGGUUGGAAAGUUUCGGCGGUUGGGGAUGGACUCGCGGCUUAUCAGCUUGUUGGUGGGGUAGUGGCUUACCAAGGCUUUGACGGGUAGCCGGCCUGAGUGGGUGACCGGCCACAUUGGGACUGAGAGACGGCCCAGACUCCUACGGGAGGCAGCAGUGGGGAAUAUUGCACAAUGGGCGGAAGCCUGAUGCAGCAACGCCUCGUGCGGGAGGACGGCCUUCGGGUUGUAAACCGCUUUCGCCUGUGACGAAGCAUGAGUGACGGUAAUGGGUAAAGAAGCACCGGCUAACUACGU
Molecule: ribosomal RNA, 467 nt
Filed under: uncultured bacterium
Lineage: Bacteria
Description: partial 16S ribosomal RNA
Rfam family: Bacterial small subunit ribosomal RNA
Source: RNAcentral